This 407-nucleotide ribosomal RNA is filed under the name Arthrobacter globiformis. Its description in RNAcentral is "bacterial SSU rRNA". It matches the Rfam family "Bacterial small subunit ribosomal RNA", at positions 988 to 1393 of the family's 1533-position model. Lineage: Bacteria; Bacillati; Actinomycetota; Actinomycetes; Micrococcales; Micrococcaceae. The record is from RNAcentral.
GGACGGACGCCGCAGAGAUGUGGUUUCUCCUUUUGGGGCCGGUUCACAGGUGGUGCAUGGNUUGUCGUCAGCUCGUGUCGUGAGAUGUUGGGUUAAGUCCCGCAACGAGCGCAACCCUCGUUCCAUGUUGCCAGCGCGUAAUGGCGGGGACUCAUGGGAGACUGCCGGGGUCAACUCGGAGGAAGGUGGGGACGACGUCAAAUCAUCAUGCCCCUUAUGUCUUGGGCUUCACGCAUGCUACAAUGGCCGGUACAAAGGGUUGCGAUACUGUGAGGUGGAGCUAAUCCCAAAAAGCCGGUCUCAGUUCGGAUUGGGGUCUGCAACUCGACCCCAUGAAGUCGGAGUCGCUAGUAAUCGCAGAUCAGCAACGCUGCGGUGAAUACGUUCCCGGGCCUUGUACACACCGA